Molecule: ribosomal RNA, 588 nt
Filed under: uncultured bacterium
Lineage: Bacteria
Description: bacterial SSU rRNA
Rfam family: Bacterial small subunit ribosomal RNA (bases 1-520)
Source: RNAcentral
CCUACGGGAGGCAGCAGUGGGGAAUCUUGCGCAAUGGGCGAAAGCCUGACGCAGCAACGCCGCGUGCGGGAUGAAGGCCUUCGGGCUGUAAACCGCUUUCAGCAGGAACGAAAAUGACGGUACCUGCAGAAGAAGGAGCGGCCAACUACGUGCCAGCAGCCGCGGUGACACGUAGGCUCCAAGCGUUGUCCGGAUUUAUUGGGCGUAAAGAGCUCGUAGGCGGUCUAGUAAGUCGGGUGUGAAAACUCUGGGCUCAACCCAGAGACGCCAUCCGAUACUGCUAUGACUUGAGUUCAGGAGGGGAGCGGGGAAUUCCUAGUGUAGCGGUGAAAUGCGCAGAUAUUAGGAGGAACACCGGUGGCGAAGGCGCCGCUCUGGACUGAAACUGACGCUGAGGAGCGAAAGCAUGGGUAGCAAACAGGAUUAGAUACCCUGGUAGUCCAUGCCGUAAACGGUGGGCACUAGGUGUGGGUUUCAACUACGAAAUCCGCGCCGUCGCUAACGCAUUAAGUGCCCCGCCUGGGGAGUCGGUCGCAAGCUAAAACNAANGAUGACGNNGAGAGNGCGACGACGACGACGAGGGAGAGG